Molecule: non-coding RNA, 294 nt
Organism: Arthrobacter sp.
Lineage: Bacteria; Bacillati; Actinomycetota; Actinomycetes; Micrococcales; Micrococcaceae
Source: Rfam
CCACCGGGACCUGGUCGGGGCUGACGAAGUGCACGUGGGUGUCGAUGCCGCCGGCGGUCAUGAUCUUGCCUUCGCCGGCAAUGAUGUCGGUGGCGACGCCGAUGGUGAUGUUCACGCCGUCGGAAAUGUCCGGGUUGCCGGCCUUGCCGAUCUUGAAGAUGUGGCCGUCGCGCAGGGCCACAUCGGCCUUGUAGAUGCCGGUGUAGUCCAGGACGAUCACAUUGGUGAUGACGGUGUCCGGGAUAUCUUCAUCACGGGUGCGCUGGCCGUUUUGGCCCAUGCCAUCGCGGAUGA